This is a long non-coding RNA of Brassica oleracea var. oleracea, 731 nucleotides long. RefSeq lists it as uncharacterized. The transcript is spliced from 4 exons. The record is from RefSeq and is a predicted model, not a curated record. Lineage: Eukaryota; Viridiplantae; Streptophyta; Magnoliopsida; Brassicales; Brassicaceae.
GCAGAUUGUUAAUAUUGCUUAGGUGAUGGAUCUACGAGACGUGGUCAGGUCGUGGAGGUUGAUGGCGAGAAACUGUUCAGGAACAUCUGAAAUUGGCACCGUUCAAUUCCCUGGAGAGGUACUGAAAACACAUCUAUGACAUGACAUGCUUGGGCGCAUUUUUAACUGCUCAAGAAAGCCAAUUGAUAACGGCCCUCCUAUUUUGCCUGAGGCAUACCUUGAUAUUUUCUGGAAGCUCAAUAAACCCCAGUGAAAGCACUUACCCUAAAGAAAUGAUACAAAUGGGUAUUUUUACCAUUGAUGUCAUGAACUUAUACUCUUCCUUGAAGAUGUGCAUGAGACCAUUCAUGAAGGAAUCAACCUUGGUGAAGACAUCAAUGUCUCUAUAGUCAGGGAUACCAGCUGUGCUAAAUCCUCAUUUCUAAGGUACUGGUUCUCACUGGAUAUUAAUUGCUCCUGUUUUAUAUUUUCUAAAACAUGUCCGCCCCUCAGUGUUGCAUUGUUUAUGCAUGCACACCACAGGCUUAGUGCCAAGUUAUGUGUAUACAUCUAGGAAGUGGCUACGCGCGGUGACAUAUGUUACCGUCAGUGAUAUGUUGUUUUAACUUUUUCUUAACUCACGUCUAAUCUGUGGCUGAGUUUUACAGUUUAGGUAUGCGGUAUUCUGUGCCUAUAUGAGGGUAAUUAUGGGUAUGGAGGGAUGAAUUUAAGUUAAUUGGCGUGUAACUUAU